UGAAACUAAAGACAGGUGGGAUUUAGAUUGGCACUUAAGUUUAGUGCAGUGUCAGCUACUUUUAAAAUGGCUUAGGCUGAGGGUAGGGAAUGGAGAUGCUCAGUCAGCAAGGCUCUGAGGGCAAGCAAGACUCCGUGGGUAAAUCUUAUGAAGAAAGAAGAGACAGAUUAAAUCCUGCGGUUUACAAGAGGCAAAGUAAAAAUCUGACUCCUAGAACUUCAUCUAAAUUUUAAGACUCUAGAAGAUGAUUCAGUGAAAGAGAAUAAAUCAAAAAUAAAUAAAAGAUUUAUUGGAAUGGGGAACCCUAAAAUUACAGGGGUUCUGCUCUCCUGCAGUAAACCAGCACUUGUACUAGCAAAUUGGGUAUGACUGCAUGUGGUAAGUAUAUUCAGUGCAGGUAUCUUAACAUUCUGUAAAGGAAAAAUGAUUCAAUACAUUUUGUAAUUGAGUUUUUAUUUGCUUAUUUCAGGUUUUGCUGUUCUUGGAAGUUUUUAUCAUUUUUUUUUGUUCCAAGUUUAUUUACAAACUGUUGGUAGAAAUUACACAGAUUAUUAGGCAAACACUAGCAAAACCUUUACCAAUCUUUUUGGAUUUCUUUUUCAGACCUCUCCUCAGGGAUCUGCAAAAGUUUCUACAACUCAGAGAAAGAGACUUGAAAUCAGUAACUCAAGUCGCAGGAAAUUACUUUUUACCAUAGUAAGAAACCUCUUUUAAGUACAGGUAAAAGAUACAAGUAUCCACUGCAGGCUUGGCUGCCUUGCUAUAUAAUUAUAAAUCUUCUAGGUAUACUGGUGAGAGAAGACUUACUGAACUUGUUAAGAAAUUUAUCAAUACUUUGCAUAUGAUCUACAUAUAUUGAAGGUGGAUCCACUUUUCCAGCAAAACAUGCUGUGACAAUACUCCAGUGUAAUUUAAAUACCAUGGUGAAAUAAAGGUUGAUAGCAUUUUUCUGAAUUUCUGGAGAAUAUAUUAAAUCUAAACACUCACACAGAAGAGAGUUUAAAAAUACUUUAAAAAAAGCAAAAGAAAGAAGUAUAAUAAGCUGGAGCACAAACAGCUGCAUAAGCACUUUGUAAUACAACACUGUAAUAAAGUUACUCUUCUAAAUUAUUUAGGAUCAGAACAUAGCAAAAUUUUGGUUUGCAGUUUGUUUUUUGAAAUUAAGAUGCAUGAGAAAAUGCAAUAGAGCAAGCUAAGGAUGCUAGGUGGGUUGUAGCUCUCAGAAAAUACAUUAUUGUGUAUAGCUUGAUUUUAUUUAAACUAAUAGAGCACACACUUAUGCUAAUACUUUUCUAGCUGGAAUACAGUGGAUUUUUCUUAAGAAAUUGAUUUUUCUGGAAGUACACCAUGUGAUGAAAAUACUUUGUGGGACUAAUUUUAUGUUCUUUGCGUUUUCUAUAGCCUUUGACAUUACAGCCACACUUAGUGCAUUUAUCUGGAAAUGCUUUAUAGCUGCAAAAAUCCUAAAGGCACUGCAAGAACUUUCAGUAAUCACUUCACUGAAGUUUUGGGUCCCUCACUACAACAAAGACAUUGAGGUGCUGCAGUGAGUCCAGAGAAGGGCAAUGGAGCACAGGUGUGAUGAGGAGCAUCUGAGGGAGCCAGGGGUGUUUAGCCUGGGGAAGACGAGGCUCAGGGGUGACCUUAUUGCACUCUACGGCUGCCUGAAAGGAGGUUGUACCCAUGUGGAGAUAGGCCUCUUCUCCCAGCUGACAACUCAAAAUUCAGCAAUUACAUUGAUUCUGGAGAUCCUUUAUCAGUUCUGCUGCAUGGGAAGAGACAGCCUUUGGAGACAGAAAUGAAGAGUAGUAUAUCGAAGAGGUUAGUCUUCUAACUUGUGUUAGACAGAGACUGAUCCCAAAGAAAAGUUCUGGAAAGUAUCAGAGACCAGAGAAUUCCAAGAAGCUGAGGCCAUGGACCAUAGGCCACAGUUACAUUUUCAAGGAGAGGUUGUUGUAAUUUUUAGUCCAACAGUAACAAGUCCAACAACAUAAGAAACACAUUGUGAACUGAAAGGGACAGGCCAGACACUAAGAGUCAAAUCAAAGCAGGUGUUCCCUGCUUGUCUUCCAUCAACUACUCCUUUGAUAUUUUCACUCUGAUUUAUGUUUCAGCUGAUUUCAGUGGAAAUGAUCCUAUGCAGACCCAAGACCAGCCUCUUACAGUAACAGCUCAAAUGCAAACCAAAAUCUUAACAAGUAUCAGCUACUAGACAAAAUGAAGAUUUGAACUGUUAUUGUAUAUUCUCUAAAGUGAUUAAAUUCUUCAGGCAAAUUAAAAUUACUAACUAAUUACAUUUUCCUCAGAACUAAUAAGCAGAUGUAUGCUAACUGUUCAGUUGUUUGCUCUUCUGAGGUGAAUGUUUGUACCAUUUUAAUGACAUCUUCAAAGAUGAAAAGCAAUGCUAGCAUGAGACAACACUGUUCAUUUGACUGAACUUGAGAAGGGAAGGCUAAAGCAGCUAUGACAGAACACUGAAAGAGGCCUCUGAACAGCAGCAGCAUGAUAACUUAGAUAUCCACUUUCAAACCCAAGGUCAAACAUUCUUUCCUUCCUCCCUCAUUGCAUUUACCUCCAGGAGUUAUGCAUUAGAUGUUAACAGUCUUUCUCUUCAAGCAAGCAGGUUUUCAUUCUGUUUUGGUAAGGUCACAACAAACAAUAAGUGACAAGAUUUUUAAUCAGCACAUCAUAACACACACCUACAAAAAAAAAAAAGGUGCUCCUUAUAGUUUUGGUUUGUUGUUUCUACAACUGAUGUGCUGCAGGAACUGAGGUUGCAUCUGCCUGGAAGAUAAUGAAAGUUUAUAGAAGCAAUAAAAGAGCUAACAAGCAAAGGACUGCACUGUUCCAAAUCUAGGAUCUGACCUGCCUUUGCAAACAAGGUCUAUGCUAGCAAGUGUUUUAUACUGCUGGUCCCUAGAGAUGCCAUGAAAGGACAAAUACUAAUACACUUUAAAUGUUUUUACAUCUAUAUUAUUUCUCACUUUCCAAAAAGAAGCAAAGAAAAAUGCUUGAAAUUUUUGAUAUGCCAUUUGCCAAAGAAUAUACUCUGUAAUUUGUAGUAGUAGUAAACACAAAAGAGAAUAUUAAUCUAAUCUUCUCUAUUGUCUAACAGUCUUUCACUAUUGGUAAUUCACUGCAAAAUAACCCUGGGAUUGGGAAUCCCCUGCUCUUAGAUACUUAUGACUUUAGGACAGGACAGCAAAGAGAAGAGGCAGCAUUUGCUGAAGCAAUCAUUUUCCCACGUGAAACUUAAGACUGACAGCAGCUCUGAGUGCAUGUACGCACAAGACUCUUCAAUGAGCAAUGACGUUUGAAUGACUUCCAAUAACCUUUAAGCACUAAGAGAUGAUAUUUUUUUAAUUUAGGUGCCUAGGAUGAGGUGUCCUACGAUUUCCUUUUCGAAAGUCUCACUAUGUUGCGUUUACCCUGUGUCAUUACUUUAAGCGCCUUGUACAGUUUUGCUUUUUUUUCUUCCAUUUUCAUUCACAUCCACCCUAAGAGAUGUAUAAGCAUGUACAAGAUGUAUAAGAAUGGCAGUAGACACUAUUCUAGCUUACUGUUAAAAAAAAAAAAGAAAAAUUGUAAAAAUGUUAUUUCUAUAGCUAUGUAGUUUUAAUUAUACCUUCAUUUCCCGUUUUUACAGUCCUGUCAAAAAAAAAUCACUGAGGCAAGGAACUUUUUCAGGUAUGCUCAUUAAAUACUACCAGUUCUCAAAGCAAUUUCUGACUUGGUCCUUCUUUUACCCUUGUUUAGUAUUUUUGGGACUGACAUUUCCCAUGUUUCAUCUCCACUUAAGGUAUCAGUUGUUUGCUUCUUGCCCUCCCUCCAAAUUCAAGAAAGUACCUGUCAGUGCAGUAAAUAAUAUGACAGCAGAACAUUCUCCCCCACUGAUCACUCUAUGAAAAACAAACAAACAAACAAGUCCUGACGGCUUUUCAGAAUGUUUUCUCAGAGGUUUUCAGAAUAAAUUGUAUUACUACUAUGUAUUGUGAAUAAAUACAGACUGCACAAAUAAUGCUGUUACAGAAAUACAUGUUUGGAAAAAUGAAGCAAUAAGAAACAAAAGUAUUACCAAGCUUAAAAACUUGCGGUCAAAAAGGCAAUGACUUAAGUAGAAAACUGACAAAUGCUAGGAAUAGGCAAAUCUGUGUUGUUCUGUAGCUUAUUUUAUCCCCUUCCUCCCAUCUUUGUAGGAGCUGAAUUUCUCUAUUUGGUAAAUAUAAUUAACAGU
This is a long non-coding RNA of Pseudopipra pipra, 4234 nucleotides long. RefSeq lists it as uncharacterized. The transcript is spliced from 2 exons. NCBI's taxonomy places the organism in Eukaryota, Metazoa, Chordata, Aves, Passeriformes, Pipridae. The record is from RefSeq and is a predicted model, not a curated record.